This 22-nucleotide non-coding RNA is filed under the name Arabidopsis thaliana (thale cress). Lineage: Eukaryota; Viridiplantae; Streptophyta; Magnoliopsida; Brassicales; Brassicaceae. The record is from RNAcentral.
UGUAUGAUCUAGUGCUCGUCCC